Molecule: ribosomal RNA, 253 nt
Filed under: uncultured bacterium
Lineage: Bacteria
Description: partial 16S ribosomal RNA
Rfam family: Bacterial small subunit ribosomal RNA
Source: RNAcentral
UACGUAGGGGGCAAGCGUUGUCCGGAAUCAUUGGGCGUAAAGAGCGCGUAGGCGGUCCGGUAAGUCCGCUGUGAAAGUCAAGGGCUCAACCCUUGAAAGCCGGUUGAUACUGUCGGGCUAGAGUCCGGAAGAGGCGAGUGGAAUUCCCGGUGUAGCGGUGAAAUGCGCAGAUAUCGGGAGGAACACCAAUGGCGAAGGCAGCUCGCUGGGACGGUACUGACGCUGAGACGCGAAAGCGUGGGGAGCAAACAGG